Alexandromys fortis (reed vole) is the source of this 452-nucleotide long non-coding RNA. RefSeq lists it as uncharacterized. NCBI's taxonomy places the organism in Eukaryota, Metazoa, Chordata, Mammalia, Rodentia, Cricetidae. The transcript has 3 exons. The record is from RefSeq and is a predicted model, not a curated record.
CACAGUUUUGCGGAAGGCGAGGCGAGGGUGGGCUUGGACUGGACACCCCUUGCCCCCCUUGAUACCCCUUGGGCGAUGGGUGCUGGUGAAAAGAAUGGAACCCGGACUGGGAAGUAAGAAGUCCCAGUUCUUUGAAAUUAUGGUUGACCAGCCAUGAGGGGAAAGAUAUGCGGAAAUGCUUCUGGUAAAGUUGAAAAAGACCUUAAAGAUUUUCAAGUUUUUCUUUCUUAACUUGGCUCCAAGAAGUCCACACGUCCAUCCAAAAUCAUUUUGGGAGUCUCAGAGCACACGGCCUCAGUCUCCAGGCUCCUUGCCGCGGGUCUUGGCAGCCUCGAUGCCUUUGACUCUUCGGGCAUGGCGAUUACCCUUGUAGUGUGCUUCAGCCUGGCUCUUCAAGGAUGGAGGAAGAGCAUGGAGUCUGAGAUCACCGUUCAUCUGCUACAUCCUACAGA